GUGCUCACUUGGGCAUCACAGAUACUAAAAACUGGAAGGUUGCAGAGAAGUGAGCAUGGCCCCUGCGCAAGGAUGACACACAGACUCCUGAAGCGGCCCACGGAGCC
This is a small nuclear RNA of Vulpes vulpes (red fox), 107 nucleotides long. NCBI's taxonomy places the organism in Eukaryota, Metazoa, Chordata, Mammalia, Carnivora, Canidae. The record is from Ensembl.